Molecule: long non-coding RNA, 1977 nt
Filed under: Homo sapiens (human)
Lineage: Eukaryota; Metazoa; Chordata; Mammalia; Primates; Hominidae
Description: non-protein coding LINC01689:11
Source: RNAcentral
CUGACUUUUAAUGCCUUAAAAAUACUGUCCAAGGUAGCUUUCCUUUUGAUUUAUCUUUAUGUAUAUUUUCACCAAAACUGCAGCCUUAAAAAUGCUUUCAAAGUCUCACGGAAUUGCCCUGAUAAGACAUAUUUUAGUUUCAGUUCAGUUACUCCAUUUUAUGUGUCACGUUUCCAAUUACUAUGCAAUAUCUACCUGAGAAUUCAACUACUCCACCUUAGAUGAAAGACCUCAAGUAUCUUUGAUAAGACUCUUCAGCAUACAAGAAACUUAUUUCAUUCAAUCUAUUCAACAAAUAUACAUUGAGCACCUGCCAUGUAAUAGGCAAUGUUCUGUGAGCCAAGUAUACAUGAAUAAAGAGCAGAUAUUCAAUAAGUGCCUCUGGAAAGUUAAGGCUUAUUUUUUUAAAUUCAAUCAUCUGAGUUGGAAGUGAUCUGAAUGGAGUAGAUGGGAGAAAGUGUUACACAUAAAAAACAAAUCCAAGAGUAAUGUCAAAUUUGAGGGAUUAAAUUGUUAUUUUCCCCUAUUAUAAGGAUUAAAAAAUUUUAAACCUACUUUAUUGAGGUUGUAAUAUUGGAUCACUUUGCAUCUAUUAGUAACUGAUAUGAAUUCGCUCCCCAAUCCAUAUCAUUUGUUCCCACUAAAAUCUCCUCUUGAAAUGUAAUCCCCAUAAUCUCCACGUGUCAUGGCGGGACCAAGUGGAGGUAAUCGAAUCACAGGGGCAGUUUCCUCUAUGUUGUUCUCAUGAUAAUGCGUGAGUCUUAUGAAUUUAUGAGGCAAAUAUUAACCAAAUACAAAAGACAAAUAAAUAUACAAUCAGAAGAAAAAAAACAACUACAGGCCAAUAACCUCAAUGAACAUAGAUUGAGGCAUUAGGCUGUUUCCCUCUUUAUAUCUAGUUUAUUAGUAAUCUCUCUCAUAACACUGGGCAUUGCACUGAAACAAAUGUAAAGAUCUUACAAUAACUACACUAUUGAUUAUAUUACUCUAUUUGGUAUUCUGCAAUUGAAUAUAAAUGUUAAAACCUAUGAGAAAGCUUAAAGGAAAAAAUGAUGGUUACAAAUGUGAGCACCGUUUUAGAAAUAGGUACAUAAUGUAUCAUGAAAACAACUGCAAAACAGUACAGAAAGAAACCCCAAAGAGUUGGGAAGUUUAGAAGUAGGCUUCAGAAACAAAUAAUCUUGAUGCUACAUAUAUUUGUGCUUAUAAAUAAAUGUUUCUCAUUUAAAUAGUACCUAUAACUUGCAGAUAAAGUAGAUUACUCCUUUUGCUUCAGUUCAUGUUUUUAUUACUAAUAAAUUAUAUCCUAUAUUUUUUCCUCAUUUUGAUAAACAUUUGUUUCACUUUUGAGUGACAUAUAUUUGGUCAUUCUUUGUUUCCAGCAUUUUGUUUAUAUUAGGUUAUUUAAACCUUUCCUGGGGGAAUUACAGGGAUAAGUAUCUCUGCUUUUUAUAAUGAAAUAAGAAGGGUAUAAAAUUUAGAGGGCCAGGGGUAGAAUUGCUAUAGUUUGGAUUAUUUGACUCCUCCAGACCUUAUGUUGAAAUCUGAUCCUCAAUGUUUUAGGUGGGGCCUAAAGGGAAGUGUUUGGAUCAUGGAGGUAGAUACUUCAUGAAUAGCUUGUUGCUAUCCUCACAGUAAUGAGCCCUCUUGCUGUAUUAAUUCCUGUAAGAGCUGGUUGCUAUAAAGAGCUUGGUACCUGCUCUCACCGCCUUGCUCUCUUGCUUUCUCUCUCACCGCGUGCUCUGUGCACAUGCCUGCUCCUCUUUGCCUUCUGUCAUGAGUGAGGACUGCCUGCAGCCUUCCCCAGAAGCAGAUGCUGGUGUCAUGCCUCUUGUAUAACCUGCCUAACUGUGAGCCAAAUAGAUCUCUUUUCUUUAGCAUUUACUCAGACUCCAGUUUUCCUUGACAGCAACACUGAAAGAACGAAGACAAUGGCUCUUCCAGAGGAAGAAAGAUUAUCCUGUCCUGGCUAUCUUG